UGGGGAAUAUUGCACAAUGGGCGCAAGCCUGAUGCAGCCAUGCCGCGUGUGUGAAGAAGGCCUUCGGGUUGUAAAGCACUUUCAGCGGGGAGGAAGGCGAUAAGGUUAAUAACCUUGUCGAUUGACGUUACCCGCAGAAGAAGCACCGGCUAACUCCGUGCCAGCAGCCGCGGUAAUACGGAGGGUGCAAGCGUUAAUCGGAAUUACUGGGCGUAAAGCGCACGCAGGCGGUCUGUCAAGUCGGAUGUGAAAUCCCCGGGCUCAACCUGGGAACUGCAUUCGAAACUGGCAGGCUAGAGUCUUGUAGAGGGGGGUAGAAUUCCAGGUGUAGCGAUGAAAUGCGUAGAGAUCUGGAGGAAUACCGGUGGCGAAGGCGGCCCUCUGGACAAAGACUGACGCUCAGGUGCGAAAGCGUGGGGAGCAAACAGG
RNAcentral lists this ribosomal RNA (429 nucleotides) under Chloroflexota bacterium. RNAcentral describes it as "Chloroflexi bacterium partial 16S ribosomal RNA". It matches the Rfam family "Bacterial small subunit ribosomal RNA", at positions 355 to 776 of the family's 1533-position model. Lineage: Bacteria; Bacillati; Chloroflexota. The record is from RNAcentral.